CUUGCAUAUCACCUGAUCUGAUACUACCCUGAGGGAGAGGAUAAUGUGUUUUCAUCACAAAACCAAGAUCAAAACUGAGACAUACCAUUCAUGAAAACGUACAACAGAAAACCAAAAGCUGCAACACAAGUGAUUCAAGUAAUAAGCAAUUCCUCCAGACUUGCCUUGCUUGUGAAGAAAAGACGGAAGGACAGGGAGAAUGGACCAGGAGGAGUAGGAAAAGAUCUCCAGCAUGUGGCACUGAGACUCCUGGGCCAAGCACGGUCUGAAUAAUAGUUUUUAUUAUGAGUGAUCACACAGCAUAAACCACUGAUGUUUGAAAGGCAGGUUCCUGCCCUUCGUUCACAGGACAGUGGCUUGCAAUUGGAUUUAACCUGGGACCGUGUGUGUGUGGUUUGUAGACAUGACACAAUCGUUCCAUUGUAUUCUUAAAUAAAAAAAACCAUAGCUGUAUGAAGCAAGUACUUGUACUGUUU
Long non-coding RNA from Xiphias gladius (swordfish), 476 nucleotides. RefSeq lists it as uncharacterized. The transcript is spliced from 3 exons. The record is from RefSeq and is a predicted model, not a curated record. Lineage: Eukaryota; Metazoa; Chordata; Actinopteri; Istiophoriformes; Xiphiidae.